UCAAGAGGCCAUCUCUAAGCUGAACCUGAUCACAAAAAAGCAUCCUCAAUCAUACAAGCUAUCAUGGUUUUGAAAAAAGAGUGAGAUGGUUGUCCAUAAUCGCUGUCUUGUCUCAUUUUCUAUCGGACAAAAAUACUUCAACGAAAUUUGCUGCAACGUCGUUGCUAUGGAUGCUUGUCAUCUAUUUUUAGGAAGACCUUGGCAGUAUGAUCACAGCAUUACCUAUGAUGGUCACCGAAAUACCUAUACAUUCUAGAAGGACCGUCAGGAGAUUACUCUGGCAGGGAUGAAGAAGAAAGAUCUGUCUACUCCAAAGCUAGAGACCAGCAUCAACUUUUUGAUGAAUUACUCUUACUUGCAGGAAGCACUGGAUUCUUCAAACUCAAAGAUAAGUUCUUUCCAGUUAGGAGAGUAUGACGCAAAUGUCUUAGCUGGUGCAAACCAUAAUUUGAAGAAACGGAUUCGAAAGGUCAAAAAAUUGGACUGACUGCACCUAACUCUAUUGAUUUUGACACUGUUGAGCUAGAAUGGUCAUAAUUUUCUCAGCCGAUGUCAGAAUCUCUAUUAUGACUCCAUUUCAAAAAGCUCUUUUCGUGCUCCACGAGACUGGUGCUUCACCGUCACUCCGAAUUUUGGAGUCUAAUUUUAUUGUUUGACAGGUCAAUAGGAGACCGAAAGAAUUCUAAUCGAAUUAGGAGUUUCAAUCCUUAUAUUAAUCUUUUUUUUUUACUUUGUUUCUGAAUCCUUUUGCUAUUAGGUUAGGACUUUUACUCUAUAAGUAAAACCUCUUUGGCCAACACUGUAAUCAAUUGAGAAUAUUUUCGUGUUACUGAAUCAAAAGAGAAGAGUUUCUUCCUUUGCCAUUUUCUUUUGUUUCGUGCAUCUUCUUUCUCUCUCCAUCGAAAUGUGGCUUAGGCUGCGUUAGUUGAUACAGAGCCCAACCGAUCUUUAUGCGGUGAUUCUUCUCUACAGUCCUGAUGACGGAUGAUGGUCGUAAGAAGAACCAACCUACAAAUCAGACGGCGGCGGCACAUGAUAAAAUCAUGCAGCAAGAAUGGGAUCUGAUGAUAAAGUAUAAAAAUUUGAGCAGACAGGUGGCAAAAUUAACUGCACGUCUUAUGCAGUUGAAAAAUUGGGAUGCGAGAUCCAAAGUGGAACUAGAAGAUCACAGAUCUGAUGGAGAAGCUUCAAAUUUUGAGAAUCCCUUCCGCCGAGGUAUUCCCAUCCACAGACGAGAAGAUCGUGGCGAGUCAUUCGAGCGGUCAACCCGCUGGUUUGAUUCCAUCAAAAUAGAUCUACUUAAAUAUUUAGGUAGUCUACAAAUGGAGGUGUUCCUCGAUUGGCUGGAUCAGAUCGAGUGCAACUCCGAAAACAAGGAGAUUUUAGACAACAAAGUGAAGCUUAUCACGCUGAAGUUAAUGGAUCAGACUUCUACCUGGUGGCAACGGCUAAAGAAAAUCAGGAAGUGCAGAGGCAAGCCAAAAAUCCAGGAUUGGAAGAAGAUGAAGAAGACAUUAAGGAAGCAAUUCUUGCCCUUCAACUACAAGCAGUCCUUGUACCAACGUCUGCAAAAUCUCCAACAAGAUCCUAGAUCCGUGGAUGAAUACACAGAAAAAUCUACCAACUAAUCAUCAGAAACGACCUGGUGGAGAUCAAAGAGCAGAUGGUGGUGAGAUAUCUGGAUGGCUUAAGACAACAGAUCCAAGAUACCUUGAGACUCCACUCCCUGUGGAUGGUCAAGAAAGUAUACCACCAUGCUAUAAUCGCUGAGGAGUAGCUGCAAUGAAGACCUAUAUCUAGAUCUGAUCUUAUCCCACAGAGCAAUCAAGCAUCAAAUAAUCAGAGGGACGUGCGAUGCAACCCAACUUCUACCCCUCCUGUUCGUGAUGCUAUUGAUACAAAGUCCUCAAAGCCAACUCUGGCUGGAUCUUCUACAUUGCGGUGCUACAACUAUGGCGAGAUCGGACAAAUGCGAAGCAAGCGUAAGAAGCCUGCUGGACGAUCCAAAAAGCAAUUGCUGAUUGAAGAAGAAAAGCUAUUUGAUGAGGAUUAAAAGCCUAUCUAUGAAGCAGGCGAAGAGGACGAUGAUUCUCUACUUGUUGGAGAUAAAGGAGAGGCUUUAGUUAUUCGGAAGAGCCUGCUUGCUCCCAAAAAGGAGGAAAAAAAUUGAAGACAGACUAAUAACAUUCACACCUGCUACAUUAAAGAAAAAGUCUACAAGAUCAUCAUCGAUGGAGAUAGCUAUGAGAAUAUCAUCUCUCAAGAGGUCAUCUUUAAGCUGAAUCUAAUCACAAAAAAGCAUUCUCAGCCAUACAAGCUAUCAUGGUUCUAGAAAGGGAGCGAGGUGGUUGUCAAUAAUCGCUGUCUUGUCUCGUUUUCUAUCGAAUAAAAAUACUUUGACGAAGUUUACUACAACGUCGUUGCCAUGGAUGCUUGUCAUUUGCUUUUAGAAAGAUCUUGACAGUAUGAUCGCAGUGUCAUCUAUGAUGGUCGCCGGAAUACUUACAUAUUCUAGAAGGACCAUCAAAAGAUUACUCUAGCACCGAUGAAGAAGAAAGAUCUGCCGACUCCAACACUAAAGACCAGCAUCAACCUUCUAAUGAAUUACUCUUGCAGGAGCAUUGAAUUAUUCAAACUCAAGAAUGAGUUCUCUCAAACUUGGAGAGUAUGACGCAAACAUCUUAGCUAAUACAAAUCGUAAUUUGAAGAAACGGAUCUAAAAGAUCAAGAAACCAGACUGACUGCACCUAACCCUGUCGAUUUUGAUACUGCUGAGCUAGAACGGUCAUAACUUUCUCAUCCAGUAUCAGAAUUGCUAUUAUGACCCUAUUUUGAAAAGUUUUUUUCAUGCUCUAUGAGGCUGGAACUUUGCCGGCACUCCAAAUUUUGGAGCCUAAUUCUAUUGUUUGAUAGAUCAACGAGAGCUCAAAAGAAUCCUAGUCGGAUUGAGAGUCUCAAUCCUUAUAUUAAUCUUUUUUCUAUUUUAUUUAUGAGUCUUUUUGCUAUUAGAUUAGGACUUUUGCUCGAUAAAUAAGGCUCCUUUGACCAACGUUGUAAUCAGUUGAGAAUAUUUUUGUGUUAUUGAAUCAAAAGAGAAGAGAGUUUCUUCUUCCUUUGAUUUGUGCAUCUUCUUUCUCUCUCCAUCGAAACGUGGCUUAAGCUGCGUCAAUAUUCCUCCAAUUUAAGAGUGUCACCACAACUCAUUUAUUUAAUGAAAUAGUGAUUUCAAAUUCUAUUACUUGUGGUUAGAGCUAUCAAGACGGGCCGACCUGCCCCAACCCAUCCCGAUCCACCUCUAAACGGGUUGGGGUGGGCUGGCCCGUUUAACUGACGGGUUGGAAAAACCCCAAUCCGACCCGAUCUGUCAUGGGCCGCAGGUUAAACAGACCAACCCGUCAAAAUUUUAAACAAAAAAUCCUAUAAAUAGUAAUAUGAACUGAAUUUCAUAUUUGAUUUGAGCUCGAAUCAACCUAUCAAAAUUUCACAUCUUAAUUCUUAGAGUCAUAAAAUGAAAUUGUCAACUUAAACUAAAUACUUAAUACAACCC
This 3547-nucleotide long non-coding RNA is filed under the name Elaeis guineensis (African oil palm). RNAcentral's name for it is "long non-coding RNA (EGUI_LNC007796)". Lineage: Eukaryota; Viridiplantae; Streptophyta; Magnoliopsida; Arecales; Arecaceae. The record is from RNAcentral.